This 1105-nucleotide ribosomal RNA is filed under the name Ralstonia pickettii. RNAcentral describes it as "bacterial SSU rRNA". It matches the Rfam family "Bacterial small subunit ribosomal RNA", at positions 39 to 1125 of the family's 1533-position model. Lineage: Bacteria; Pseudomonadati; Pseudomonadota; Betaproteobacteria; Burkholderiales; Burkholderiaceae. The record is from RNAcentral.
GCGGCAUGCCUUACACAUGCAAGUCGAACGGCAGCAUGAUCUAGCUUGCUAGAUUGAUGGCGAGUGGCGAACGGGUGAGUAAUACAUCGGAACGUGCCCUGUAGUGGGGGAUAACUAGUCGAAAGAUUAGCUAAUACCGCAUACGACCUGAGGGUGAAAGUGGGGGACCGCAAGGCCUCAUGCUAUAGGAGCGGCCGAUGUCUGAUUAGCUAGUUGGUGAGGUAAAGGCUCACCAAGGCGACGAUCAGUAGCUGGUCUGAGAGGACGAUCAGCCACACUGGGACUGAGACACGGCCCAGACUCCUACGGGAGGCAGCAGUGGGGAAUUUUGGACAAUGGGCGAAAGCCUGAUCCAGCAAUGCCGCGUGUGUGAAGAAGGCCUUCGGGUUGUAAAGCACUUUUGUCCGGAAAGAAAUGGCUCUGGUUAAUACCUGGGGUCGAUGACGGUACCGGAAGAAUAAGGACCGGCUAACUACGUGCCAGCAGCCGCGGUAAUACGUAGGGUCCAAGCGUUAAUCGGAAUUACUGGGCGUAAAGCGUGCGCAGGCGGUUGUGCAAGACCGAUGUGAAAUCCCCGAGCUUAACUUGGGAAUUGCAUUGGUGACUGCACGGCUAGAGUGUGUCAGAGGGGGGUAGAAUUCCACGUGUAGCAGUGAAAUGCGUAGAGAUGUGGAGGAAUACCGAUGGCGAAGGCAGCCCCCUGGGAUAACACUGACGCUCAUGCACGAAAGCGUGGGGAGCAAACAGGAUUAGAUACCCUGGUAGUCCACGCCCUAAACGAUGUCAACUAGUUGUUGGGGAUUCAUUUCCUUAGUAACGUAGCUAACGCGUGAAGUUGACCGCCUGGGGAGUACGGUCGCAAGAUUAAAACUCAAAGGAAUUGACGGGGACCCGCACAAGCGGUGGAUGAUGUGGAUUAAUUCGAUGCAACGCGAAAAAACCUUACCUACCCUUGACAUGCCACUAACGAAGCAUGAGAUGCAUUAGGUGCUCGAAAGAUGAAAGUGGACACAGGUGCUGCAUGGCUGUCGUCAGCUACGUGCUCGUGAGAUGUUGGGUUAAGUCCCGCAACGAGCGCAACCCUUGUCUCGUAGUUGCUUACGAA